This 427-nucleotide ribosomal RNA is filed under the name uncultured bacterium. RNAcentral describes it as "bacterial SSU rRNA". It matches the Rfam family "Bacterial small subunit ribosomal RNA", at positions 355 to 774 of the family's 1533-position model. The record is from RNAcentral.
UGGGGAAUUUUGGACAAUGGGCGCAAGCCUGAUCCAGCCAUGCCGCGUGCAGGAUGAAGGCCUUCGGGUUGUAAACUGCUUUUGUACGGAGCGAAAAGGUCUGCCCUAAUACGGUGGGCUCAUGACGGUACCGUAAGAAUAAGCACCGGCUAACUACGUGCCAGCAGCCGCGGUAAUACGGAGGGUGCAAGCGUUAAUCGGAAUUACUGGGCGUAAAGCGCACGCAGGCGGUCUGUUAAGUCAGAUGUGAAAUCCCCGGGCUCAACCUGGGAACUGCAUUUGUGACUGCAUAGCUGGAGUGCGGCAGAGGGGGAUGGAAUUCCGCGUGUAGCAGUGAAAUGCGUAGAUAUGCGGAGGAACACCGAUGGCGAAGGCAAUCCCCUGGGCCUGCACUGACGCUCAUGCACGAAAGCGUGGGGAGCAAACA